RNAcentral lists this ribosomal RNA (877 nucleotides) under uncultured eukaryote. Its description in RNAcentral is "SSU rRNA". It matches the Rfam family "Eukaryotic small subunit ribosomal RNA", at positions 636 to 1469 of the family's 1831-position model. The record is from RNAcentral.
CGGUGUUCAACUGGCGUGUCCGCGGGACGUCCUGCCGGUGGGCUUAGCCCGCAAGGGCGGCCCAACUUCAAAUCCCAUCGCGGUGCUCUUCACUGAGUGUCGAGGUGGGCCGGCACGUUUACUUUGAACAAAUUAGAGUGCUUAAAGCGGGCUAAAACUUCGCCUGAAUACUGUGUGCAUGGAAUAAUGGAAUAGGACCUCGGUUCUAUUUUGUUGGUUUUCGGAACCCCGAGGUAAUGAUUAAUAGGAACGGAUGGGGGCAUUCGUAUUGCGACGUUAGAGGUGAAAUUCUUGGAUCGCCGCAAGACGGACAGAAGCGAAAGCAUUUGCCAAAAACGCUUUCAUUGAUCAAGAACGAAAGUUAGAGGUUCGAAGGCGCUCAGAUACCGCCCUAGUUCUAACCAUAAACGAUGCCAGCUAGCGAUCCGUCGACGUUCCUCCGAUGACUCGACGGGCAGCUUCCGGGAAACCAAAGCUUUUGGGUUCCGGGGGAAGUAUGGUUGCAAAGCUGAAACUUAAAGGAAUUGACGGAAGGGCACCACCAGGAGUGGAGCCUGCGGCUUAAUUUGACUCAACACGGGAAACCUCACCAGGCCCGGACACCGGAAGGAUUGACAGAUUGAGAGCUCUUUCUUGAUUCGGUGGGUGGUGGUGCAUGGCCGUUCUUAGUUGGUGGAGCGAUUUGUCUGGUUAAUUCCGAUAACGAACGAGACUCUAGCCUGCUAACUAGGCGUAUUUUCGACAUCUCAAAGGUUCGUCGUCCCGGCCCUCGGGUCGUGGGCGUGCGCGAUUUUUACUGUCGGCGUACUAUCAAUUCUUCUUAGAGGGACAGGUGGCUUCUAGCCGCACGAGAUUGAGCAAUAACAGGUCUGUGAUG